UACAGAGGGGGCAAGCGUUGUUCGGAAUUAUUGGGCGUAAAGCGCGUGUAGGCGGCUUGGCAAGUCGGGUGUGAAAUCCCUCAGCUUAACUGAGGAAGUGCGCCCGAAACUGCCGAGCUUGAGUACCGGAGAGGGUGGCGGAAUUCCCCAAGUAGAGGUGAAAUUCGUAGAUAUGGGGAGGAACACCGGUGGCGAAGGCGGCCACCUGGACGGAUACUGACGCUGAGACGCGAAAGCGUGGGGAGCAAACAGG
RNAcentral lists this ribosomal RNA (253 nucleotides) under uncultured bacterium. Its description in RNAcentral is "partial 16S ribosomal RNA". It matches the Rfam family "Bacterial small subunit ribosomal RNA", at positions 524 to 776 of the family's 1533-position model. The record is from RNAcentral.